Molecule: long non-coding RNA, 260 nt
Organism: Megalobrama amblycephala (Wuchang bream)
Lineage: Eukaryota; Metazoa; Chordata; Actinopteri; Cypriniformes; Xenocyprididae
Exons: 3
Source: RefSeq, a predicted model, not a curated record
GUCAUUGCUCCCUAUAAUGGAGGCCUCACGGAGGUUUUACGGGUGUGGAACGGCAUGAGGAUUAAUGUGUCUUCAGUAUUGCAGUGCAGAGAUCGAUAGGCCUGCUGGACCAGCCGUGCAGCUGUGACCCACUGAGGAGAAAGAUAAACGGUUUACCUGCCAUCAAGCUAGAAGAGCUGACUGGUGUGGAACUAGCAGCCAUUCCUGCAGCUGGUGCUCCUCUGCCCUGGUCUUUAACUAUGGGGUCUACACACAAAGCA